RNAcentral lists this ribosomal RNA (254 nucleotides) under uncultured prokaryote. Its description in RNAcentral is "partial 16S ribosomal RNA". It matches the Rfam family "Bacterial small subunit ribosomal RNA", at positions 524 to 776 of the family's 1533-position model. The record is from RNAcentral.
UACGUAGGGUGCGAGCGUUAAUCGGAAUUACUGGGCGUAAAGCGUGCGCAGGCGGUUCUGAAAGUCAGCUGUGAAAGCCCCGGGCUUAACCUGGGAAUGGCAUUGAGGACUGUGGAGCUGGAGUGCGGCAGAGGGAGGUGGAAUUCCACGUGUAGCAGUGAAAUGCGUAGAGAUGUGGAGGAACACCGAUGGCGAAGGCAGCCUCCUGGGCCGACACUGACGCUGAGGGCACGAAAGCGUGGGGAGCAAACAGG